RNAcentral lists this ribosomal RNA (550 nucleotides) under uncultured Spiroplasma sp. Its description in RNAcentral is "bacterial SSU rRNA". It matches the Rfam family "Bacterial small subunit ribosomal RNA", at positions 28 to 576 of the family's 1533-position model. Lineage: Bacteria; Bacillati; Mycoplasmatota; Mollicutes; Entomoplasmatales; Spiroplasmataceae. The record is from RNAcentral.
GAUUAACGCUGGCGGCAUGCCUAAUACAUGCAAGUCGAACGGAGUAGCAAUACUUAGUGGCGAACGGGUGAGUAACACGUAUCUAAUCUACCAUUUAGUGGGGAAUAACUGUUGGAAACGACAGCUAAUACCGCAUAAUAUUGCUGGAUAAUUUCCAGUAAUGAAAGGAGCUUUCAAGCUCCGCUGAUUGAUGAGGAUGCGGCGCAUUAGCUAGUUGGUAGGGUAAUGGCCUACCAAGGCAAUGAUGCGUAGCCGAUCUGAGAGGAUGAACGGCCACAUUGGGACUGAGACACGGCCCAAACUUCUACGGAAGGCAGCAGUAGGGAAUUUUUCACAAUGGGCGAAAGCCUGAUGGAGCAAUGCCGCGUGACUGAUGAAGGUCUUCGGAUUGUAAAGGUCUGUUGUAAGGGAAGAAAUGGUAAAACAGGAAAUGGUUUUAUCUAUGACGGUACCUUACCAGAAAGCCACGGCUAACUAUGUGCCAGCAGCCGCGGUAAUACAUAGGUGGCAAGCGUUAUCCGGAUUUAUUGGGCGUAAAGGGUGCGUAGAC